RNAcentral lists this unclassified non-coding RNA (325 nucleotides) under uncultured fungus. Its description in RNAcentral is "partial contains small subunit ribosomal RNA, internal transcribed spacer 1, and 5.8S ribosomal RNA". The stretch from base 1 to 73 matches the Rfam family "Eukaryotic small subunit ribosomal RNA", at positions 1759 to 1831 of the family's 1831-position model. Lineage: Eukaryota; Fungi. The record is from RNAcentral.
GCAAACUUGGUCAUUUAGAGGAAGUAAAAGUCGUAACAAGGUUUCCGUAGGUGAACCUGCGGAAGGAUCAUUAAUGAAGUUUUGGAGGGUUCUCCCUCUACUUCUCACCCUAUGUUUAACUAUUUAUUGUUUGCUUCGACAUGUCAGUCUCUCUGGACGGUUGGGCCACGGUGGUGUUUUGUCACUGCUCCGGCCCGAUUAGUUACUGUCGACAGCCUAUUUAAACUUCUUUGAUAUAAAAUCAUGCCUGAAAACUUGUUUUAAAAAAUAAACAAAAACUUUCAACAACGGAUCUCUUGGUUCUGGCAUCGAUGAAGAACGCAGC